GGGGAUAUAGCUCAGUUGGUAAAGUGUUUGCCUCACAUGCACAAGGCUCUGGGUUCAAUCCCCAGAACCUUA
Non-coding RNA from Ictidomys tridecemlineatus (thirteen-lined ground squirrel), 72 nucleotides. Lineage: Eukaryota; Metazoa; Chordata; Mammalia; Rodentia; Sciuridae. The record is from Rfam.